CCUACGGGAGGCAGCAGUGAGGAAUAUUGGUCAAUGGGCGAGAGCCUGAACCAGCCAAGUCGCGUGAGGGAGUACUGCCCUAUGGGUUGUAAACCUCUUUUGUCGGGGAGCAAAAGCCUGACGUGUCCGGCUGUGAGAGUACCCGACGAAAAAGCAUCGGCUAAGUCCGUGCCAGCAGCCGCGGUAGUACGAGGGAUGCGCGCGUUAUCCGGAUUUAUGGGGUUUAAAGGGUGCGCAGGCGGAUUUUUAAGUAUGCGUGCAAAUCGUGGGGUUCAACCCCAUCAAGCGUGGGAAACUGGGGAUCUAGAGUGGGCGAGAGGAAUGCGGAAUGCGAGGUGUAGCGGUGAAAUGCAUAGAUAUAACGCAGAACCCGGAUGGCGAAGG
RNAcentral lists this ribosomal RNA (384 nucleotides) under uncultured bacterium. Its description in RNAcentral is "partial 16S ribosomal RNA". It matches the Rfam family "Bacterial small subunit ribosomal RNA", at positions 338 to 721 of the family's 1533-position model. The record is from RNAcentral.